RNAcentral lists this ribosomal RNA (319 nucleotides) under uncultured eukaryote. Its description in RNAcentral is "partial 18S ribosomal RNA". It matches the Rfam family "Eukaryotic small subunit ribosomal RNA", at positions 1470 to 1796 of the family's 1831-position model. The record is from RNAcentral.
CCCUUAGAUGUCCUGGGCCGCACGCGCGCUACACUGAACGGAUCAGCGCGUUUUCCCUUCCCGAGAGGGACGGGUAACCUGCUGAACCCCGUUCGUGGUAGGGAUCGGGGCUUGCAAUUAUUCCCCGUGAACCAGGAAUGCCCAGUAAGUGCAAGUCAUAAGCUUGCGUUGAUUACGUCCCUGCCCUUUGUACACACCGCCCGUCGCACCUACCGAUUGAAUGGUCCGGUGAAAUCUCGGGACGGCGGCUUGGUCGCUUGCGUCCGACUGCUGAAACUUGAUUAAACCAUAUCAUUUAGAGGAAGGUGAANUCGUANCA